CUCUCGCUGUCUUUGGCAAUGGUAGAACUCACACUGGUGAGGUAUCAGGAUCCGGUGGUUCUAGACUUGCCAACUACCGCCCGAGGGUACA
RNAcentral lists this microRNA precursor (91 nucleotides) under Chelydra serpentina (North American snapping turtle). Its description in RNAcentral is "miRNA (ENSCSRG00000015644.1)". The stretch from base 5 to 81 matches the Rfam family "mir-182 microRNA precursor family". Lineage: Eukaryota; Metazoa; Chordata; Testudines; Chelydridae. The record is from RNAcentral.